AUUUAAGGGCAGGUCACUCACUGGCAGGCUGACUUUGAGGACACCAUCUCUGGUGGUUGGCAGAGUCUGCAUAGCCUCUGGCAUGCUCUAGUGGGAUGACUGUUCAUUUUUUCACCGGUGUUGAAAUGAGAUGGUGUACCAGUGAAAGGGGAUACACUGGCUGAUGCAAUGUCUUGCCCUUGAGAGGACUGAAGGAAAGGCUGAGUGUAAGGACUAUGGGAUUUCACUAAUGUGGGGAGUACCAUCGAUUCUUUGAAGAGAAAUAAAAAUAGAGAUGGGAAAUUAGUAAAUACUUUACAAAAACAGACAGGCCCCUUGGUAGUAUUAAAUAAAACCCUGCAGCUGAAGGAUAGAGUAAAUAACCAAGUUCAGGGCUUCAUCAUAAAAAUAGCAGAGCUUCAGAGAAGGUUGAAUUAUCAGCCUGGCAAGUCCCCUACACCAAGGUCAGAGCUCCAGUAAUGAAGGAAAAAACAGUGAAAGUUAGGAUGGGAAUAACAUAUGGAUACAAUUCAGAAUUUCAAAUUCCCAGAUUCUCGUGGACCCACUGGCCCUGCAGAAGUGGCCCACUUCCCCUGGUCAGAAGGUGACUGUCCCAGUAGUUUGAUGAUCAUGCAGAGGCCUCAGUUGAGGCAGAUUCUUUAUGAGACAUUCUUGCAUCCUCUCAGGAUAAGCCCCUACCUUCUCUCUUGACAACCAGACCAUUAACCAGGAUCAAAUUCCAGAAGACCAACUGGGCAUGUGAAGGCCUGUGAAGGAAAGAAAGGGAUAAAAUGCCAAAGAGGCCACAUAAUCCAACUAACACGAACCUUCAGGAUUUGGGAGAGCAUCAAUAGGACUUGCUGGUGAGAGUGUUUCCUCAAGGGGAGUGGAUCUUACAGCCAAAGGCCAAAUUCAUUCUCCCACCUGGAACAACUAAAAAACUGGAUAAAUAAAUGAAAAAUGUUUUUUAUGUAUUAGAUACAAGGCACUGAGUGAUGUAAAAUGAACGAGGUGAGCCCUACACUUGCCCCAGCUGACUUCCUAGAGACAAUUUCCAGGCAGCAACACCUCAAAAGGAGCCAAGUGAGGAAACCACUGACAGCUGGGGAAAACAGCACCCCAAAGAGCAGAAGGAACAAUCCCUGAUACUCACACAGGCCUAGGAAUGGCUCAUGCUCCCACCAGCCAGGGUGUAAAACUUCACAAUUCAUGGAGCAUCAGGUGGAACACUCAGAAGGAUACUUGACUCACAAAGCUCAAAAGGGAGCCUUGAAAAUAUCUAAUUGUUUCUAAAACAAAGCUCAAGGAUAUUUAUAGAAAUAUAAGACUAUCCAAUGUCCAACAAGAUGAAUUUCACAAUUUCUGGGAUCUCAGUCAAAUAUUUCCAGGCAUGCAAAGAAGCAGAAAAUGUAAUCCAUAAUGAAUAGAGCAAUCAAUUAAUAGAAACAGACCAAGAAAUGAUAGAAUUAAGAGACUAGCACAUUAAAAAGUUAUUAUAUUAGACAGGCAGUAGAAUGGUGGUUGUCAGGGACUGGAGGGUUGGGGAAUGGGAGUUAUUGUUUAAUGGGUAUAGAGUUUCAGUUUUAUAAGAUGAAAAGAUUUAUGGAGUUGGAUGAUGGUGAUGGUUGCACAACAUUAUAUAUGUAUUUAACACCAUUGAACUGUACACUUAAAAAUGGUUAAGACAGUAAAUUUUAUGUGAUGGGUAUUUCAACACAGUAAAAGUCUGGAAAACAAUUUUAUAUCUAUAUUCCAUAUGUUAAAGAAGGUAGAAGAAAUAUUGAGGAUGUUAAGUAGGAACAUAGAAGAUAUACAAUAUUCCCAAUUGAAAUUCUGGUAAAAACACAAUGUCUGGGAUGAAAAAUAUACUGAAUAGGAUAAACAGCAGAAUAGACAAUGCAGAAGAAAAGAUUAGUAAAUGUAAAUACAUUUAAAACAAUAAAUAGCAAGAAAACCUGCCAAAAUGUUGAAACACAGAAGGAAAAAACACUGAAGAAUAAAUCUAUAAAGCAUCAUAGAGCUAUGGAAUAACUUCAGAGGUCCUACUAUACAUGUAAUUUGAAUUCUUGUGGAGGAGCUCAGAGAAAAAAUAUUUGAAAAAAUAAUGGUUUAAAAUUUUCCAGAUUGUCUCAAACCUAUAC
Molecule: long non-coding RNA, 2120 nt
Filed under: Homo sapiens (human)
Lineage: Eukaryota; Metazoa; Chordata; Mammalia; Primates; Hominidae
Description: HSALNT0248047
Source: RNAcentral